AGCAGCCGCGGUAAUUCCAGCUCCAAUAGCGUAUAUUAAAGUUGUUGCAGUUAAAAAGCUCGUAGUUGAAUUUCGGGGUCAAUACGUCGGUCGUGCCCUCGGUACGCACUAACGUUAUUGAUCCCUCCCUUCUGACGAACCGUGAUGUCAUUAAUUUGGUGUUGCGGGGAAUCAGGACUGUUACCUUGAAAAAAUUGAGUGUUUAAAGCAGGCAAUCGCUCGAAUACAUUAGCAUGGAAUAAUGAAAUAGGACGUUUCGAACCUAUUUUGUUAGGUUUCUAGGAUCGACGUAAUGAUUAAUAGGGAUAGUUGGGGCAGUUAGUAUUNAAUUGUCAGAGGUGAAAUUUCUAGG
RNAcentral lists this ribosomal RNA (352 nucleotides) under uncultured Glomus. Its description in RNAcentral is "SSU rRNA". It matches the Rfam family "Eukaryotic small subunit ribosomal RNA", at positions 569 to 924 of the family's 1831-position model. Lineage: Eukaryota; Fungi; Glomeromycota; Glomeromycetes; Glomerales; Glomeraceae. The record is from RNAcentral.